This 3966-nucleotide long non-coding RNA is filed under the name Homo sapiens (human). RNAcentral describes it as "HSALNT0113810". Lineage: Eukaryota; Metazoa; Chordata; Mammalia; Primates; Hominidae. The record is from RNAcentral.
CUGCAAGCUCCGCCUCCCGGGUUCACGCCAUUCUCCUGCCUCCGGCUUCCAAGUAGCUGGGAAUACAGGCGCCCGCCACCACGCCCGGCUAAUAUUUUUGUAUUUUUAGUAUAGACAGGGUUUCACCGUGUUAGCCAGGAUGGUCUUGAUCUCCUGACCUCGUGAUCCGCCCGCCUCGGCCUCCGAAAGCGCUGGGAUUACAGGCGUGAGCCACCGCGCCCGGCCAUUGCUUUCUUGCAGCAACUGGGGAUUGUUGCAGGAAUUCUGUCAUUACAGCCCCAGGAAAAUGGAAGAAGAGGAAAAUGAAAAAAGACAAAAGGGAUAUGAUGCUGGGCAAAAUCCCACCAAAAUCAGACGUAGGAAGGAAUCCAGCCCUUUUGCCCAGUAGAAUUAUGGGGGAAAAGGAGAAGCAAAUGGCGAGACACUUGAAUUCCAAGCUCUCCUCUUGAAGUGGAAGCCGUAGAGAAAGGAGGCAUGUUAGGUUGAAGAAAGAUGGUGAGGUUCCCAGAGACUAGCCACUUCAGGAAGCUCUUCUUACCCUUCGGGAUAAAGGGAGCAGAGAAGGAAAAAGCAGAGUCCAUGGAAUCAUGGGGACACACAGCAAUGCCAGAGACUUCUUGCCAAAGCAAGGAGCGAGCAGGGAAGAAAAGCUCCCACCUCUCACCUUCCAAACCUCAGGCUCCUGCUGGUGUCUCCCAUUAACCAAAACCACAGACACCAACCAGCAAGAAAGCCAGGGACCUAGAGUCAGUAGGGGUAAAUAGAGCCUUUCAGGACACGGAGAAGGGCAGGCAAAGGCACAGAUGGGUGUAGCCAGGGGCAGCAAGGGGAGAAUAACCAGGCACCUCCUUCCAUUCCAGCAUGAGGGCCUGGAAGCCCCUCUUUCUUGCACAUGCACAUGCCAUGCUGGGGAGCGGCAAUGGGAGUUCCGAAAUACUGAACAUUUAUCUAGAGACUGAGUCACUUAAAGCAACUGCUGAAAUUAUUGAAACAGACUGUUUUCUAAUCUAGACUAAAAUAUACUAUAUUUUUCUCUCUAUCCAUCAGUCCAUUGUAAUGAAAAUUUAAUCAAUUACUUAAAGCAAUAAAAGAAACUACAUUUUUAUUGUACAACUUACUGAAGUGUGAGGAAAUGGGUGGAUCCUUCCCACUUUGUAUCCUCUCUACCGUUCUCUACUUCCAAGGUAACUGAGGUGACUUAACAAUGAAACAAGUCAGAAAUGUCCUGAUAGAGACCAAAGGAAGACAAUAUUUCAGACUCCUCUGGAGAGGAAAGCAUCUUCUGGCUCAAUUAGCAUGCUAAAGAAUGGGUUUGGUUUCGUGCUCCAUUAAAGUCAACUAAAUAGAUGCGCUGCAUGUCUUUAUUUCAAAAAUAAAGCUGAACAAUUAAAUCCCGUGUCUCUUUGCUCAGUUUUUGAUCCCACACAAAGCUUUCCCACUUGCUGCCUUUGGAUGUAAUGUUAACAAAGUCAGUUAACAUCAAGCACUGCAGUAACAGGCAUGGCAGAAUUCCUUGUUUUUGCUCAAUCAGUCUGUGUUCAAACUAUCAGUUUGAUUUAUUUGUCCACAUUGACCCUUAUUCACCACUUAAUUAUCCUCGUAUAAUGUUUCAAGAGGCUCCUGACACAAGGAGAAAGACAAUCGCCGAUGUUCUGUAAAACAACGGUUGACCUGAUGGGCCCAGAUGAAGACCGUGGGUCGGAGUUUGUUUGCUUUUGGAAGAACCCACUUCUCCUGUCCGAGAGCUGCAUCCAGAGCCACUCGCUGUGGGUGCCACAGGCUGGCCGGUCAAGCUGUUCGUCAGGUUCUCAAACUGUGAGCUGACCAUCACCACGGGAUAGUCAUGGCGUUUUGCUCUAUUGGCCUCUCCAAAUCCCCCGGUAUGUUGGGUGUAUUAGAGUUCAGAAAAAAACAAAACCCAUGCACCCACUAACACACAAACACACACACACACACACACACACACACACUGAACCUCAAUUUCAGCAAUGUCUUUAUUAGUAUAUGGUUACUGCUGUGAUUAGAAAUACAUUUUCUCACUUUGUGUAUGAACAGGAAAGGUUUUCGAAUCACAGGUAUGAAAUGAGAAAUAAUAUUUAAACAUUGAACUGCUUCAUAUUGUAGUUGAUCUCUAAGCUCCUGCUCAUAAACCAGAUGAAUUAUAAUUUUAUUGGAAAAUAAACCAAUGUCUUUUAUACCUAGCCAGAAAUACUAUUUAUUGUAAUAGGUUUCAUGUGAAAUUAAGACAAUUAUUUUAGAACUGUUGAAAUCUGACAACUAUUCUAUAUUCAUAGCCCUUAACAUUCAAAUAUAAAUUACUGAUAGUUAAAAACAGAUAAUAAACAUCAACAUUUCUAGAAAAACAGCCCAUAUAAAUAUAAAAUCAUAAUUUUAUAUUUUGAAGUGAUUUUCUAUAAAAAUUUUAAAUCUUUUAUGGCAAGUUGAGCCCAUAUUUCAUUUGGCUACACCUUAGUAUGCAUAAAUGGUUUUUGCAACACCCUACUAACCUUGGUUUGUCAUUUUAAUUUUUUACACAUUUUCCUCUCCUGUUUAGUACAUUUUCCAUCUUAUUAAAUUUUACUCUGCACAGUUACCAAUGCAAAUGACAGCCUAAUUGUUUUUCAUACAUUAAAAAUGUUCAUCAAUGUCGUUUGAACCUAAAAUUAGAAAAUCAUACUCUAACAUAGCCUCCAUGUGUUGGUGACGUUUAUUCUUUUGUGUCUUAGCCUUUCUCUGUGAUGGACAUAUGAUCACAAAUGUUGCUGCACAGAAACAAUAACACAAGAAUUAGAUAAAUGACAGAUGACAAUUUCAAAAUGAAAAAUAUCAAAUAUUUCUAAAAGCUACUUGGUAGGAUUUUUUUUACUGCUGUAACUGUAACCAAAACUCUGAGAAGCAUUUUUGGAAGCCCCAGUUACCAGUAUGAAAGCCACCAGAAUAGAGUCUUGUACAUGCCACAACCCCGAACUCUCAUUCCGUCAUCCUGGGGAGGUCUGAGAUCCCAGCAGAGAUGGUCUGGUGGCCAGUGACCUUCUAUUUGAUUUGGUGCAGAGGGACUGAGCAUCUGGAGGCCAACCACGUGGCCUGGGCGUCCCACUCAAACUUGCUAGCUGCAAUUUCCUCAUCAUCGAGGACUUUCUAUCUUCUGAGGUUGGAUACAGAGUCCCCAGGAGUCCCGGUAGUGUUCAAGAUGACACAAGUCUGAGAGGACAUGAGCUGAGCCAGGCACACCAGUGACCUGCAGGCCUGCACACCCAGCUUUGACCAGGGUGGAUCCACUUUUUUCAGUUCUUUUCCAUAUCAGAUUUUUUUUUCCAGAAUGAAGUGUCCUGUGGCCUUUAAAGAGUUUUGUUUUGUUUUGUUUUGUUUUGUUUUAAGACCUGAAUAUAGAGGCCUUCCAGCUCUGGGAUUAUGUAACUCUAGGAAUAAAAUCAUAGUUCUUACAGCUGAAAGAAUACAAUAAGACAAAGUAGAAUAGGCAAAAAACCUGAGGUGGAAAAUCUGGCCUCCGUGUUGUCCCUUAAACAGGCUCACCGUCCUUCCAAUGGGUUCAAUUAUUUGCUACUGAAGAAAUCAUUCCGUAUGUUCCCCUGUCUGCAAACACACGGGCCUGAGAUCCCCUAAGUAAGAACACCAGUGGCAAGAUGAAGACACAAUCAGGGACUUGUUCCAACAUGGACUCCUGCUCUAAGAAAGCCCACAAAGCUGCUCUCUCUGUUCUGGCCUUGCUGUCUAAUACCAAGGAAUUUUCAUGACAUGUUCCAAUAGAAAUGACCAAAAUAAAAAUCUCUCUGAGAAAAAUGCCGCCCUCUUCUAAAAAUUAUUGUUGUUGUUGCUUUAUCUCAUUUUUCUGCUCAAUGUUUCUUUCUACCUGAAAACAAAUUUUUUAAUCUGAAAAAAUAAUUUGCUUUCAACUCUUUUUGCUACCUCCACCUGUUUCCUCCCAAAUCAGGUCUGUGUCAAAAG